RNAcentral lists this ribosomal RNA (397 nucleotides) under uncultured bacterium. RNAcentral describes it as "partial 16S ribosomal RNA". It matches the Rfam family "Bacterial small subunit ribosomal RNA", at positions 523 to 918 of the family's 1533-position model. The record is from RNAcentral.
AUACGUAGGUGACAAGCGUUAUCCGGAUUUACUGGGCGUAAAGGGCGUGUAGGCGGUCUUGCAAGUCAGAAGUGAAAUUCCUGAGCUCAACUCGGGCGCUGCUUCUGAAACUGCAGGACUUGAGUGCUGGAGGGGAUAGCGGAAUUCCUAGUGGAGCGGUAAAAUGCGCAGAUAUUAGGAAGAACGCCGGUGGCGAAGGCGGCUAUCUGGACAGUAACUGACGCUGAGGCGCGAAAGCGUGGGGAGCAAACAGGAUUAGAUACCCUGUUAGUCCACGCCGUAAACGAUGAAUACUAGGUGUAGGGGGUAUCGACUCCCUCUGUGCCGCAGUUAACGCAAUAAGUAUUCCGCCUGGGGAGUACGGCCGCAAGGUUGAAACUCAAAUGAAUUGACGGGG